CCCAGACAGCCAGGAUGUUGGCUUAGAAGCAGCCAUCAUUUAAAGAAAGCGUAAUAGCUCACUGGUCGAGUCGGCCUGCGCGGAAGAUGUAACGGGGCUAAACCAUGCACCGAAGCUGCGGCAGCGAACGUAUCACUUAAAGCGAUUCAGCGGAUGACGAUUGACGGAGCGAAGCGACGUCAAAGCGUUUUACAACGUCGAGUCGGUUUAAGGAUACGUUCGUUGGGUAGGGGAGCGUUCUGUAAGCCUGCGAAGGUGUGUCGUGAGGCAUGCUGGAGGUAUCAGAAGUGCGAAUGCUGACAUAAGUAACGAUAAUGCGGGUGAAAAACCCGCACGCCGGAAGACCAA
RNAcentral lists this ribosomal RNA (348 nucleotides) under Salmonella enterica subsp. arizonae serovar 41:z4,z23:-. RNAcentral's name for it is "partial 23S ribosomal RNA". It matches the Rfam family "Bacterial large subunit ribosomal RNA", at positions 1084 to 1348 of the family's 2925-position model. Lineage: Bacteria; Pseudomonadati; Pseudomonadota; Gammaproteobacteria; Enterobacterales; Enterobacteriaceae. The record is from RNAcentral.